This 667-nucleotide ribosomal RNA is filed under the name Arthrobacter sp. R80. RNAcentral's name for it is "bacterial SSU rRNA". It matches the Rfam family "Bacterial small subunit ribosomal RNA", at positions 618 to 1282 of the family's 1533-position model. Lineage: Bacteria; Bacillati; Actinomycetota; Actinomycetes; Micrococcales; Micrococcaceae. The record is from RNAcentral.
GAUCUGCGGUGGGUACGGGCAGACUAGAGUGAUGUAGGGGAGACUGGAAUUCCUGGUGUAGCGGUGAAAUGCGCAGAUAUCAGGAGGAACACCGAUGGCGAAGGCAGGUCUCUGGGCAUUAACUGACGCUGAGGAGCGAAAGCAUGGGGAGCGAACAGGAUUAGAUACCCUGGUAGUCCAUGCCGUAAACGUUGGGCACUAGGUGUGGGGGACAUUCCACGUUUUCCGCGCCGUAGCUAACGCAUUAAGUGCCCCGCCUGGGGAGUACGGCCGCAAGGCUAAAACUCAAAGGAAUUGACGGGGGCCCGCACAAGCGGCGGAGCAUGCGGAUUAAUUCGAUGCAACGCGAAGAACCUUACCAAGGCUUGACAUGGGCCGGAUCGCCGCAGAAAUGUGGUUUCCCCUUUGGGGCCGGUUCACAGGUGGUGCAUGGUUGUCGUCAGCUCGUGUCGUGAGAUGUUGGGUUAAGUCCCGCAACGAGCGCAACCCUCGUUCUAUGUUGCCAGCGCGUGAUGGCGGGGACUCAUAGGAGACUGCCGGGGUCAACUCGGAGGAAGGUGGGGACGACGUCAAAUCAUCAUGCCCCUUAUGUCUUGGGCUUCACGCAUGCUACAAUGGCCGGUACAAAGGGUUGCGAUACUGCGAGGUGGAGCUAAUCCCAAAAAGC